UUAUCCUUUGGACAUAGAAGUCUAUGUCUAAUGUUAUACCAUGAUGAACAAAUUUAUUUCUAGCUACACUAUACUUAAAUAUUUGUUAUCUUUAACAUUGUAUAGUGUCAAACAACUUGUUUACAUAAAUUAGCUAUUCUUUUAUUUGCAAAGGAACUAAAUAAAAUAUAAAGGCACAAGAGGUAUUUAAGCACUUACAAAUGAAAAACAAAGAAUAGAGGAGGUUAUGCUGUGUUCAUUGUGACAUAAAUAAUAGAUAAUCCUUAUAAUAUAUCUCUCAAACUUAAAAAUCCCCAAUAUUGUAUAAAAUUUAAAAUGGAAACAUUAUAGUUAAUCUCUUUGUAUUAUUUUCUUCCAAUAAUAUAUUUUCUAUUACUUUACUCUCUCAAAGCUAAUAAUGUAAUGUGCACACAUUAGCUAUUUCUGUCACUUAUUAUUAUAUAGAAAACAUAAUUUUUCAGGAAGUCAAGGUUAUUCCUAUGCUAAUUUGUUUACACAAAAUAAAAUUAGUAGCUUUCUUGAUCUACCACUUUUUACUUUUAUAUUUUUAAGUUACAUGUGAUAUUUUUAAGUUUACAUUAUGUAUUUUAUCAUUCUUUAGAGAAUUUAACAAAUCAUAACUGAAUUGAAAUAAAGAAAGAUAGCAUAUACAAGGACAGUUUCUUCGUUGGGUUACAAAAUCAACUCGUGUAUGAAAUGAAAAAGGAUAGCAUAUACAAGAACAGCUUUUUCCCAAAAUGACAAUGUUGGGGGUAUGAAAUAAAUUAGACACUUUUAGUUUUCUUUUUAUAGACACACCUAUGAGUGAAAUAAUAGAUAAUAUAAUAAUAUUUAAAUAAUUGAUUUCAAUUUAGUUUGAAUUAGAUAUGAAAUUAUAAAGUGAAAACUGAUCCAAACCAUUGAGUUAUACAAAAAGAGAUUCAAAUCAAUUUAAUUUUUUUUAAUUGGUUAUCGACUUUCUGAACUGAUUCUUAUUAUUUUUCGGCAUUUGUGCUUGUUAUAAACACCCUACUUGGAGUGGCAAUAUGCCUAUUCUCCCAUAAAAAAAUGAAUAAAACUUGGUAUAUAGAAGAGUACUUCGGUAUAUUUAUGGAAAAACAUUAAGGGCAAUAGCAUCAUGGAGUUGAGAUUGCUUUACUUUCAUCAUUACCUAAAACAAUGUGGUUCUUUAUUAUAUGUUACAUACAGCCAUAGCUAUGAAGUGUUACCAGUGAGUUCGGCAGGGUAGACCACCUCAUCAAAGCAUGUAAGACUACAAUAGUUUGACGAAGACACCAUAGAACUUGAAGGUUGAGAAUUAUAUGGAAAGUUGCAGGGACAUUUUGCUAUUUCUCUUGGACCUUCACUGUGAAUGUCAGGAGGAAGUGGAGAAAGGAUAAUUUCUCCCAUAAGGAACUGGACAAUCAUUCUCAUAUUAGGUCUGUAAUGAGGAUUGGGAUGAGAGCAAAGCAAUCCAAGACUAAGCACAAGCUGAGCUUCAUCUUUGUCAUACUCAUAUAAACUGGGGUCAAUAGCUCUGCAGAUCUGUCCUUGGUGAUGUAGAUCUCUAACCCAAUCUACCAAUACCAGUUCCUCGGGAUUCUUUUGGGGCUCUAUUGGCCUCCUUCCACAUGCUACUUCCAAAAUGAGUACUCCAUACCCAUAUACAUCUGUGCUUGUUCUUGCUUUCCCAGUCUUGGUGAGCUCAGGGGCCAUGUAGCCUAGUGUUCCCACAAUGCUUGUUGUCUGUGGAUUGAUUCCAUGCUCGUAAGUCCUUGCAAGACCAAAAUCUCCAAGCUUUGGUUGGAGAUCUGCAUCUAUCAGGACAUUGCUUGGCUUUACAUCUCUGUGAACAACCUGCACCUCACUUUCUUCAUGGAGAUACAGCAGCCCUUGGGCAACUCCAGUUAUGAUCUUGUAUCUUUGAUCCCAAGUUAGUAAUUUCUUCUUUUGAUGAUCAUUUUCAAACAGAAGCUUGUCUAGGCUUCCAUUUGGUAGAUAAUCAUACACAAUGAGGAGUUCAUCCUGCUUCCUGCACCACCCAUGUAAUUGCACCAAAUUUCUAUGCUUAAGCUGUGUCAUGCUUGUUAUUUCCGCUACAAAUUCUCUGAUCCCCUGCCUUGAAUCAGGAGCAACCCGCUUUACGGCUACUUCUAGUCCUGUGCUAGGGAUUAAACCUCUGUAGACUUUACCAAAACCUCCAUACCCAAUAAGGUUUCUGUCCCCAAACUUUCCUGUAGCUGAAUGGAGCUCAGAAUAUUUAAAUUUAUGGGUGGCAAAUUCGAGUUCCCAAUCCUCUAAAACCUCCUCUCUAUUUCUUAAUCUGUGCAGGGCUAGAGCUCCUAUAAUUGUCAAUAUAAAAAGAGAUGCACUUGCUAGAGUAAUACCUGCUGCAAAGUGUUUUUUGUGCACCACCUUAAUAGAAGUAUUUGACCGAAUAAGUGGCACAGCUGAUUUUUCUAGCUCUUGUGCUGCUGCUCCUAUUUUGAAGCUCCAACCAUGUAUAUUAUACUCAGCUACCAGCAGACCGUUGGAAGCAGAAAAACCUGCAUACAUGUAAUCAUCAAACACCAAGGAUAGGUCUAUGCGAAAUGAUAUCAAAGGAAAAUAUGGCUUUGGCAUGCCAAAAGGAGAAACUGUGACAUGCAUCAUCAUCUCCCCUUCAUUGUAAUCAACCCAUGCUUGAAUGGGUUUUCCACUCUUCAAGCUGAAGGAAAUGUUCUUGCUGUGAUCUUCUUGGCCAUUUCUUUCUAAAUAGUAUGCUACUGACUUAGAUGUGUUAGAGAUGAGGCUGGAUAUAUCUAUCCCCACGUGAUUAUCAUCGAUGUCUUCAAGUUCAAGGUUCUGUACCCCAUCAAACUCUACAGCUAGGAACGGGGUUGAAAGUUCCUUAUUACUUGUCUCAUUUGGGAGGCCUAAAUAUUGAUUUGUGAGGCACCCUUUUGGUUCGUUGGUAGAUAUUAGGACGAAUGCAAAACCGUGUCCUCCAAGAUCUGGGUACUUAGGAACUAUGGAAAACACAAAGGUAGUGCUAAAGGUUGCAACAAUGGAUUUGUUUUUGCUAGAUUUGAAUGGCAAAGGAGAUGGAUAGAAUGCAUGGCCAAAGAUUUUUGCAGAAUCAUUUGUCAAGGUAAGUAUGCCAUUCGGCCUCACAUAAGCUCCAUCCAUUUUCAAGCCUGGUUGCCGAAAAUCAUAUUUUACAAAAUUGAUAUCCGACAAUGCAAACCUCAACAGAGAAUAAAGAACAACCAAAAGGAUGCCAGAUGCAUGCAUUGCCAUGCUUGUGAUGUUGGUAUUGGUUGUUGAAAAAGAUUAGAACACUGCUAUCUGAAAUAGGAUUAUAGUUACUCUGAAGUUUUGGUCGAAAGAGCCUAUUAAUACUGCGUUUGGAACCAUGCACCUUGGAAGUAAGAAUCAUUUUUUAAAUCCAAAUAAGGAUAUCAAUGAAAAUAACUUACAGAUUGGCUUCAGACAUCAUUUUAAUUGAAAAGUGUCAACUUGUACUUAAAUAAAAAUCCAUGAAAAACAAAAAGUGUAAGUCAUUAGAAUGGUGAGAUAAAAAAGGAAUUAAUGUAUAUUAUCUCAUUACAAGUACAGAUAUCAAGAGAAAAAGUUAAAAUUAAUAUAACUCAUUUUUAAGAAAAAGAUUACAAACACAUCCUUGAUCAUGUGGCACAUUCUAGGAUACCAGUAAAACACAUAUGAGAAAUAGUUUGAAUAAAAGUAGUUGGUGAAGACCUUCUGAAAAACAAUUUAUAUUUUUUAUAUGAUUCUGUCGUAUUGAAGCUGAGGGCAGCUUAUAUAUUGAUUAGAAUUCAUGAUUUAUAUCUAACUCGCGACUGAAGAAAUAACUUUGUUUUGGGAAAGUAAUUGAAGAAAUAACUUGAUCAAACCUCUAUUAAAUAAACUAAAAAAAUGUACAGAAUGAUGAUAAAAUACUUACACAAAUUUAAUCAAUCCCUUAUAUCAACUCUCUACUAUAACCCUUUCUCAAUACUUUCUAUUUUAUUUUCUUAAAGCACUCUUAUGACAAAAGGUGUUAUACCACAGUUCUUGUCAUAACUUUCAGUUCUCUCCAUGACAAGAUAAAAAGGUUAUACAUUGAUCAGACUAAAACCAUAUAAUCUUUUUCCUCUACAAAAAAUAUCCUCAGAAUUUGGUUCUGCAUUUGCCAAAUUCAAACGGCUUGCUACUGGGGAACUCUGAGAUGAACACAUGGAAUAAAGCAACUACAAGGCAAGUGGUAUUCUUGGAGGAAGGACCUAAUGUUCCUGAAGAGAGAGACCUGACCCUGUUGAAGCUCAAAAACCAAAGACCCUCAAGAUCCAAGUGUCAUUGGAGACAACCUUCGUUUUCUACGAUACCUUAAUUAAACAUGUUUAAAAGUGUAGAGAGGAAAAAAAUGAGUAACACCUUAUAAUUGUGAUAGAUUAUACGUGUAAAUCUUGUAAACCUCUCCUUAUCCAUAUAAUUAUAGUAGUCCAACGAAAAAAGAACUAUAGUGACCUAAUAUAUUUUGAAGAAUAAAAGAAAAAUCAAGACAAUUUUUGGUGACA
Vigna radiata var. radiata (mung bean) is the source of this 4535-nucleotide long non-coding RNA. RefSeq lists it as uncharacterized. The record is from RefSeq and is a predicted model, not a curated record. The transcript has 2 exons. Lineage: Eukaryota; Viridiplantae; Streptophyta; Magnoliopsida; Fabales; Fabaceae.